GGAACGGGCAACGGUAGGUCAUUUUGCCCCAAAUGAGUUGGGCUACACGCGGGCUACAAUGGCCGGGACAAUGGGAUGCCACCUCGAAAGAGGGCCCUAAUCUCCUAAACCCGGUCGUAUUUCGGAUUGAGGGCUGAAACUCGCCCUCAUGAAGCUGGAUUCGGUAUUAAUCGCGUUUCAGCAAACCGCGGUGAAUACCUCCCUGCUCCUUGCACAUCCUCUUACCUCUCCCUCCUCCUUGCACAUGGGGUUAA
This 254-nucleotide ribosomal RNA is filed under the name uncultured haloarchaeon. RNAcentral's name for it is "partial 16S ribosomal RNA". The stretch from base 1 to 216 matches the Rfam family "Archaeal small subunit ribosomal RNA", at positions 1128 to 1343 of the family's 1478-position model. Lineage: Archaea; Methanobacteriati; Methanobacteriota; Halobacteria; Halobacteriales; Halobacteriaceae. The record is from RNAcentral.